This 286-nucleotide long non-coding RNA is filed under the name Musa acuminata (dwarf banana). RNAcentral describes it as "long non-coding RNA (MACU_LNC006743)". Lineage: Eukaryota; Viridiplantae; Streptophyta; Magnoliopsida; Zingiberales; Musaceae. The record is from RNAcentral.
CGAAGGGAAACCGAUGUGAUUGGACUCGCAGACUUUUGGGGCCGUCUCUGACAAUCUCAGCACGCUUUAGUUGGCCGCGGCAUGCGCGGGGAUGGGGACUCGUGGAGGCGUUGGUCAACUGUGCCAUUAGAAUCCGAGGAGAGAGCUUCGCUGUGUCUGUGGGAUCACAAUGCGUGUCAUUGGAUUGCUUGAUCGCGUGGAAGUGGUAUCCAAUGCGUCUAACAUUCGAUCACAGCAGACUCGCGUUAGAGAGGAUAAUGAAAGUACUAACUAACCAUCAGAUUUU